This 429-nucleotide ribosomal RNA is filed under the name Pseudomonadota bacterium. Its description in RNAcentral is "Proteobacteria bacterium partial 16S ribosomal RNA". It matches the Rfam family "Bacterial small subunit ribosomal RNA", at positions 355 to 776 of the family's 1533-position model. Lineage: Bacteria; Pseudomonadati; Pseudomonadota. The record is from RNAcentral.
UGGGGAAUAUUGGACAAUGGGCGAAAGCCUGAUCCAGCCAUGCCGCGUGUGUGAAGAAGGUCUUCGGAUUGUAAAGCACUUUAAGUUGGGAGGAAGGGCAGUAAGCGAAUACCUUGCUGUUAUGACGUUACCGACAGAAUAAGCACCGGCUAACUCUGUGCCAGCAGCCGCGGUAAUACAGAGGGUGCAAGCGUUAAUCGGAAUUACUGGGCGUAAAGCGCGCGUAGGUGGUUCGUUAAGUUGAAUGUGAAAGCCCCGGGCUCAACCUGGGAACUGCAUCCAAAACUGGCGAGCUAGAGUAGGGCAGAGGGUGGUGGAAUUUCCUGUGUAGCGGUGAAAUGCGUAGAUAUAGGAAGGAACACCAGUGGCGAAGGCGACCACCUGGGCUCAUACUGACACUGAGGUGCGAAAGCGUGGGGAGCAAACAGG